RNAcentral lists this ribosomal RNA (299 nucleotides) under uncultured bacterium. RNAcentral describes it as "partial 16S ribosomal RNA". It matches the Rfam family "Bacterial small subunit ribosomal RNA", at positions 336 to 651 of the family's 1533-position model. The record is from RNAcentral.
UUCCUACGGGGCGCAGCAGUGGGGAAUAUUGCACAAUGGGCGAAAGCCUGAUGCAGCAACACCGCGUGAAGGAAGAAGGCCUUCGGGUCGUAAACUUCUGUCCUUGGGGAAGAAGAACUGACGGUACCCAAGGAGGAAGCCCCGGCUGACUACGUGCCAGCAGCCGCGGUAAUACGUAGGGGGCAAGCGUUAUCCGGAAUUAUUGGGCGUAAAGAGAACGAAGGGGGCAACCUAAGCGCAGGGUUUAAGGCAAUGGCUAAACCAUUGUUCGCCCUGCGAACGGGGAUGCUUGAGGGCAG